AAUCAAGUUAACAUUCACCAGACUCGAGAUGUUACCAUCACGUAUGGCACAUUGCCUAACGUUCCAAAUUUCAUGUUGUUGUUAUGGGGGAGAGCCAGAUAGAAAAGGUUGAGAAGUGAUAGUCUACAGAUACAAGAUUGUUAGAAAAAAUAUGCAGACCGCAGUUGACAAAAGUUAUGUAGUAGUAAUAAAUUUGUUUCUUCCUCAAGCUGUUCGCUCAGAAAAGAAAUUAUUGAUUGUAAGAGUUGAGGAACCGAAAAUCAGUUGUGUAAAUAUAGGCAGAUUAAGAUAAAGUCAGAGCUAAUAUCCAGAACUCCUUUCAGAGACUGUUCAUUAAAGUGUGUACAUCUAUGUUUUCAGAAUUCGGGGACGAAUUCUUUUGAGGGGGAAAGAAUGUAAUAACCCUCACGAGCAGAUAGAAUUUUGGUGGAGAAAUUUUUUUAAGAUAAGUUUGACGAUUGGUAGAUUAGAAUUUAAAUAAAAAUCGACACGGUGAAUUAAUCUUUCGACGGGGCU
This 516-nucleotide long non-coding RNA is filed under the name Brassica napus (rape). RNAcentral describes it as "long non-coding RNA (BNAP_LNC005467)". The record is from RNAcentral. Lineage: Eukaryota; Viridiplantae; Streptophyta; Magnoliopsida; Brassicales; Brassicaceae.